GUAAAAUUUGCUUAUGUACAUACUUGUCUACAUAACGUUGGUUUUGUAGUGCCCAACUACUAUUGUACCUUUCUUUGGUGACCAACCUUUUUGGGGAGAACGAGUGCAUGCCAGGGGACUGGGACCCCCACCUAUCCCUGUUGAUCAAUUUUCACUAGAAAAAUUGGUUGAUGCAAUAAUGUUCAUGAUGACACCGAAGGUGAAAGAAAAUGCUGUCCAACUAGCCAAAGCCAUGGAAAUGGAGGAUGGUGUUUCUGGAGCUGUUAAAGCAUUUCUAAAGCAUCUUCCUCCAAAAAUCUCACCUCAAGUUACACCUGAACCGUCAAGCUUCGUGGAUUUCUUGGUUGCUCCUAUUAGAAGGUGUUUUUUUUCACCUCAAGUUACAUUCUGUGCAUUUUAUGUUGUUAAAGAAAGGCAUUUAUGGUGGAACAUAUAUCUAUAUGCUAGAGUACAUAUAUCUUACC
Non-coding RNA from Musa acuminata subsp. malaccensis (wild Malaysian banana), 464 nucleotides. NCBI's taxonomy places the organism in Eukaryota, Viridiplantae, Streptophyta, Magnoliopsida, Zingiberales, Musaceae. The record is from RefSeq and is a predicted model, not a curated record.